Molecule: ribosomal RNA, 389 nt
Filed under: Syndiniales sp.
Lineage: Eukaryota; Dinophyceae; Syndiniales
Description: partial small subunit ribosomal RNA
Rfam family: Eukaryotic small subunit ribosomal RNA
Source: RNAcentral
AUUCCAGCUCCAAUAGCGUAUAUUAAAGUUGUUGCGGUAAAAAAGCUCGUAGUUGGAUUUCUGUUGAGGGCGUCCGGUCCGUACCACGUACGCGUAUCUGGGUCGCGCUCGGCAUCCUCUCGAAGAACGGUUCUCGCGCUUGAUUGCGUGGUCCGGGUUUCGGGACUUUUACUUUGAGGAAAUUAGAGUGUUCACGGCAGGCAAUUGCCCGGAUACAUUAGCAUGGAAUAAUACUAUAGGAUUUUGGUUCUAUUUUGUUGGUUUCUAGGACUAAAAUAAUGAUUAAUAGGGACAAUUGGGGGCAUUCGUAUCAACACGCUAGAGGUGAAAUUCUUGGAUUGUGUUGCGACGAACUACUGCGAAAGCAUUUGCCAAGGAUGUUUUCAUUG